This 214-nucleotide ribosomal RNA is filed under the name uncultured bacterium. RNAcentral's name for it is "partial 16S ribosomal RNA". It matches the Rfam family "Bacterial small subunit ribosomal RNA", at positions 137 to 334 of the family's 1533-position model. The record is from RNAcentral.
AUGGGGACGAAAUUCCGAAAGGAAUGCUAAUACCGAAUGAAGUGUGGGGGAGGGCAUCUUCCCUACAUGAAAGAUGGCCUCUAUAUAUAAGCUAUCACUGAUCGAUGGGUCUGCGUCUGAUUAGCUAGUAGGUAAGGUAACGGCUUACCUAGGCGACGAUCAGUAGCCGGUCUGAGAGGAUGAACGGCCACAUUGGGACUGAGACACGGCCCAG